Molecule: long non-coding RNA, 371 nt
Filed under: Manacus vitellinus (golden-collared manakin)
Lineage: Eukaryota; Metazoa; Chordata; Aves; Passeriformes; Pipridae
Description: lncRNA (ENSMVIG00005000026.1)
Source: RNAcentral
AUGUCAAGUCAAAAUACUGGAGCAGGAUCUACAAGAUCCACACCUAUAGGAUUAUCACUUAAUGGAUGUCCAUCAUCGUCUGGAUCACAGAGUAGUAGAAGGGGAUCGUGGGCUAAUUCUGAUUUAAGAACCCCUCAGCUGUAUCCACUUACAUCACCUUCCCCACAGCUCUCUGCAAGACAUCCAAUCACCAUCUCUGGACUUCUGCAAAGACAACAGUUAGGAUCGACUAAUUUUGGAGGACAUUCAGCAGAAAGAUAAGCAAACAUCUGUGAAUUCUUUUGGUUAAUAAGCAUCUGGAGAAGCACUACACAGUUUUUGGAUAUCAAAGUAUUUGUAACUUCAAUAAAAUGUCAAAUUGGCAUAAACCA